GCCAAACAGUCUGAGGUAAUAAUCAAACAGAUUUUCCUUAAAUGUCUUCUAAAAUGCAAUAACUGGCUAUAACAAUAGUUGGUUUUAGUGGAAACAGACAAGAAACAUCAAUACAAAAAGGUUUAUGCUUUUUGGUGUUAGCAUCUAUUGAGGAAAAUAACAAAAUGCUACUGUAUAUCACAGUUUCUGUCACAACAUCUUGCGCUAACGACAUUAGCUAGACAAUCUCAGGUAAUAAAUCAAACACAGCCUUCUAAAAUGUCUCCUAAGAAUGCAAUAAGUUGCUAAAGCAAGUUUUUUUUUUUUGCAGAAGCAGUCAUGAAACAAUGAUGACAACAAACUUUUGUCAUUGAUGCUGUUGGUGUAAGCUACUAUUGACCCAAGUACUAUUACUAAAUGGAGAUGUGUAUUUGUCUGUCAGUUUUUAGUAAGCUGCCAUAAACUGAGGCAAAGCAUAGCAUAGCAUAGUGUAGCUAACUUCUUUUAAAAACUAAGUUGGCUGUAUUAACUUUAAACAACAAGUAACUUAUAGUUUUAUAAGUUACAGUUUCUCCAACACUGGACAAAGCUAAGCAUUUACUCCAUGGUCUGUUCCUAAGAAGGAAAUUGAAUCAUUUGGACCACACUGACUUUUCUGAAAUACUCCAUUUUUCUGCCUCCCUGGUCAUCCAUCCACGUUAAUGAAGAAGCGGGGCAGAAGAGCACACUGGGAUAGCUUUUGGAAGACCAGCCCCACUUGUACAGCUCUAGACUGAGGUGGUAAUUACCAAGGACUUUGCCAAACUCUGUUCUUCAUCUCCAUCUCCUCCAUUCCAUUUUUUAGCUGAGCAUCAAUUUAUCUUAGACACUUAGAAUGUCAAUUGAAUGACAAAAACAUGUUCUUUAAAAUUUCUUAUCUCAUAUCUCUCUUACAGUACAUCUUUCACUUUUUUGCCAGUUUGUUCAGAAUCUACCAAUCCCACCGGUGCCCAUUACUGAGUGAGGAUGACAACAACGGUCUUUUCUUUCUGGGUGCAAAAAAUCAUCUACAAUCACACUUUACAACAGAGCAGUGUGACCAGACAGCUGAUGAGAACAAAAUCAGUGUUGUCAAAACGAGGACCACCCACCGACUGAACAAACCAGCCUGAAAAUAGUCCCCUUAACCCCCUGCCAUAGAAAAAAAAAAAAAACAUGCCGCUCCACAUCUGCAUUAUUGCAGCCAG
This is a long non-coding RNA of Cyprinus carpio (common carp), 1205 nucleotides long. The record is from Ensembl. NCBI's taxonomy places the organism in Eukaryota, Metazoa, Chordata, Actinopteri, Cypriniformes, Cyprinidae.